UUUACUUCUUGGCCUUUUGGCUAAGAACAAGUGUAGUAUUUGCUCUUGUCAGUUUAAUAUCUGAUAUGUUGAAUAGACUGCCUAGGGAAGUGAUGGAGUCACCAUCC
This 107-nucleotide small nuclear RNA is filed under the name Opisthocomus hoazin. Its description in RNAcentral is "U2 spliceosomal RNA". It matches the Rfam family "U2 spliceosomal RNA". Rfam says of the family: U2 is a small nuclear RNA (snRNA) component of the spliceosome (involved in pre-mRNA splicing). Lineage: Eukaryota; Metazoa; Chordata; Aves; Opisthocomiformes; Opisthocomidae. The record is from Rfam by way of RNAcentral.